GGCAGCACCAUGCAGCUCAUCUGCUCUCAAGAACAAUUGUGAAUGAUUGAAAAUUUUUUUGACAGCAAAACAAACAACUGUGCACGUCAUCCUACAGAAUUUUGUAAAAUUUAUUUUUAAUCAAUUUAUAAAUUAAAUUAAAACAAAAAUGAGUGCUCUUUUCAAUUUCCAAAGUUUGUUAUCAGUGAUCCUGUUAAUGAUUUGUACUUGUGCCUAUUUGCGUUCGCUAUUUCCCAGCAUUAUGGACCGAAAUAAGACCGGUUUUCUGGGAACUUUCUGGAAACUGGCUAGAAUAGGUGAACGGAAAUCUCCUUAUGUGGCGGUGGCAUGUAUAAUAAUGGCAGUUUCCAUUUUAUUCUGGACGUGAUUGAUUUUGUUGAUUGCAAAGUCAAGAAGCUUUAGUUUAAGAAUCAUCCACCAUUCGUUGAGUUGGCUUAAAACAGAUUAUUAUGAAUUUUUUUUGCUGACAGAGUUACCAGAGCCUGGUUUGUGUCUAAUUUUGAGUUUCGGACGAUGUUAUAAAUUAAGUCUGUAUAUCGUCACCAUUAACGUAAACGGGUUGUUCACUAGCCAAAAUAAGUUUCAAAAAACAAAAUGUUUUCCGUUUUUGUGAUAUCACAACUUUUUAAAAGGUUUUUGUAUCAGUGUUCUCUAUGCUGUAAUAAUUUUUUCAAAGUUCCAACUCCUUCCUCUGCAUAUCUGAGACGGAAACCACUGGUUUUGAGCGACCAGAGCAGAAACUGCAGAAUUUGUAAGAAAUUAUUCUUUAAUAAUUGAUUUUAUAGAAAAAAUCAAUAAAAAUAAGCUAAAUUACGCACUUUUAUAAUGCUCCAAAAGUGCAUUUUAAGUUAUCUAAAGAUGCAUUUUAUUAAAAAAAAUUUUCUUUACGCGCAAUCAAAGUA
RNA transcript from Lucilia cuprina (Australian sheep blowfly), 902 nucleotides. It is a transcript of the gene named protein kish, with no coding region annotated. The transcript has 4 exons. Lineage: Eukaryota; Metazoa; Arthropoda; Insecta; Diptera; Calliphoridae. The record is from RefSeq and is a predicted model, not a curated record.